RNAcentral lists this ribosomal RNA (496 nucleotides) under uncultured bacterium. Its description in RNAcentral is "partial 16S ribosomal RNA". It matches the Rfam family "Bacterial small subunit ribosomal RNA", at positions 28 to 506 of the family's 1533-position model. The record is from RNAcentral.
GAUGAACGCUGGCGGCGUGCCUAAUACAUGCAAGUCGAGCGAACGGACGAGAAGCUUGCUUUUCUGAUGUUAGCGGCGGACGGGUGAGUAACACGUGGAUAACCUACCUAUAAGACUGGGAUAACUUCGGGAAACCGGAGCUAAUGCCGGAUAAUAUUUUGAACCGCAUGGUUCAAAAGUGAAAGACGGUCUUGCUGUCACUUAUAGAUGGAUCCGCGCUGCAUUAGCUAGUUGGUAAGGUAACGGCUUACCAAGGCAACGAUGCAUAGCCGACCUGAGAGGGUGAUCGGCCACACUGGGACUGAGACACGGUUCAGACUCCUACGGGAGGCAGCAGUAGGGAAUCUUCCGCAAUGGGCGAAAGCCUGACGGAGCAACGCCGCGUGAGUGAUGAAGGUCUUCGGAUCGUAAAACUCUGUUAUUAGGGAAGAACAUAUGUGUAAGUAACUGUGCACAUCUUGACGGUACCUAAUCAGAAAGCCACGGCUAACUACGU